Molecule: long non-coding RNA, 108 nt
Organism: Oreochromis aureus
Lineage: Eukaryota; Metazoa; Chordata; Actinopteri; Cichliformes; Cichlidae
Exons: 3
Source: RefSeq, a predicted model, not a curated record
GUGUGCAAGUUGUGUGGCGUUUAACGAGAUUUUCUGUGUUUUGAGCAGGUGAAAUUAUGUUAAGUUGACCUGAGAGUGUCAGGACCCUGAAGAACUUGUGGCAAAAAG